RNAcentral lists this ribosomal RNA (708 nucleotides) under uncultured Acidobacteriota bacterium. RNAcentral's name for it is "bacterial SSU rRNA". It matches the Rfam family "Bacterial small subunit ribosomal RNA", at positions 8 to 748 of the family's 1533-position model. The record is from RNAcentral. Lineage: Bacteria; Pseudomonadati; Acidobacteriota.
AGAGUUUGAUCCUGGCUCAGAAUCAACGCUGGCGGCGCGCUUAACACAUGCAAGUCGAACGAGAAAGGGGAGCAAUCCCUGAGUACAGUGGCGUACGGGUGAGUAACACGUGGAUGAUCUACCUCUUGGCGGGGAAUACCUCUGGGAAACCGGAGACAAUACCGCAUAAGCUCGGAAGAGGAAACCUGCAAAGGGCCGAGAGAGGAGUCCGCGGCCGAUUAGCUAGUUGGUAGGGUAAGAGCCUACCAAGGCGAAGAUCGGUAGCCGGCCUGAGAGGGCACACGGCCACACUGGCACUGAAACACGGGCCAGACUCCUACGGGAGGCAGCAGUGGGGAAUCUUGCACAAUGGGGGAAACCCUGAUGCAGCGACGCCGCGUGAGCGAUGAAGCCCUUCGGGGUGUAAAGCUCUUUCGACGGGAACGAUAAUGACGGUACCCGGAGAAGAAGCUGCGGCUAACUACGUGCCAGCAGCCGCGGUAAUACGUAGGCAGCAAGCGUUGUUCGGAGUUACUGGGCGUAAAGAGUGCGUAGGCGGUGCCCUAAGUCUGUUGUGAAAUCUCCCGGCUUAACUGGGAGGGUGCGGUGGAAACUGGGGUGCUUGAGUGUGGGAGAGGUAAGCGGAAUUCCUGGUGUAGCGGUGAAAUGCGUAGAUAUCAGGAGGAACACCGGUGGUGUAGACGGCUUACUGGACCACGACUGACGCUG